Non-coding RNA from Schizosaccharomyces pombe (fission yeast), 653 nucleotides. The record is from the annotation of a GenBank genome assembly. NCBI's taxonomy places the organism in Eukaryota, Fungi, Ascomycota, Schizosaccharomycetes, Schizosaccharomycetales, Schizosaccharomycetaceae.
UAAAAUAAAAAAGGAAAAGAAAAAAACCGGCGGCGCAACGAGCUCUUAAAUAGGAAGAACGUGACAAGAAAGCCACUACGUAGUCAACAUUCAUGCAGCUAUUAUGGACAGGUACGGCAACUUUUGAUUGGUAGAGAGAGGAGGCAUAAUAGUAGGGACAGCGCCUUAUCAGAGGGCUUAUCGAACGAUCGGGGUGACAUCGGCCCCAAAGCUUAUCGCAUCUAAGUCGCUUUGUAAGUGGUGGGAAAAACAUUAGAUAGCCAAUCAAAGAUUGCAAAGACUUGAAAGCAACACCCAGGCCAGCACGCAAUGAACCAUCGUUCAAGUGCAUUAAAGUAUAUAGCGAAAGAGAAUGGAAUGCAGUAAAAUCAACCGGCUGUGGAAGUGAGUAGCGCCGAUAUCGCUAUAUAGGAAGUGUGGGGGUGUAUAUAUAAAAUGGGGGCGAAAGGGUUACUAUAGAGACAAAUAGACACGAGGUAACUAAGUAAGUAGGUAGGAGAAAAGCGAAUUAACAAUUUGAACUUGAUAAUAAAAUAGUUGUGUAUUUCUCAGUCAAUUUAGAAUCAAUUGAGGAGAAAACUACAUGAUCAUAGAAGGGAAAGAAGGAACACAGCGAAAGAAAGAAGCGUUAAACAAUAGGAAUGGUUCUUUUU